UACGUAGGUGGCAAGCGUUGUCCGGAUUUAUUGGGCGUAAAGCGCGCGCAGGCGGUCCUUUAAGUCUGAUGUGAAAUCUUGCGGCUCAACCGCAAGCGGUCAUUGGAAACUGGGGGACUUGAGUACAGAAGAGGAAAGCGGAAUUCCACGUGUAGCGGUGAAAUGCGUAGAGAUGUGGAGGAACACCAGUGGCGAAGGCGGCUCUCUGGGACGGUACUGACGCUGAGACGCGAAAGCGUGGGGAGCGAACAGG
This 253-nucleotide ribosomal RNA is filed under the name uncultured bacterium. RNAcentral's name for it is "partial 16S ribosomal RNA". It matches the Rfam family "Bacterial small subunit ribosomal RNA", at positions 524 to 776 of the family's 1533-position model. The record is from RNAcentral.